CCUGAUAACCAUAGCAAAGUGGUACCACUCCUUACCAUCCCGAACAGGAAAGUGAAACGCUUCUGCGCCGAUGAUAGUAGGCAUCAGCUUGUGAAAGUAGGUUAUUAUCAGGA
Molecule: ribosomal RNA, 113 nt
Filed under: Bordetella sp.
Lineage: Bacteria; Pseudomonadati; Pseudomonadota; Betaproteobacteria; Burkholderiales; Alcaligenaceae
Source: RNAcentral